This 397-nucleotide ribosomal RNA is filed under the name uncultured bacterium. Its description in RNAcentral is "bacterial SSU rRNA". It matches the Rfam family "Bacterial small subunit ribosomal RNA", at positions 975 to 1375 of the family's 1533-position model. The record is from RNAcentral.
CUACCCUUGACAUGUCCGGAAGGCCUUCGAGAGGAGGCUGUGCCCGAAAGGGAAUCGGAACACAGGUGCUGCAUGGCUGUCGUCAGCUCGUGUCGUGAGAUGUUGGGUUAAGUCCCGCAACGAGCGCAACCCUUGUCCCUAGUUGCUACGCAAGGGCACUCUAGGGAGACUGCCGGUGACAAACCGGAGGAAGGUGGGGAUGACGUCAAGUCCUCAUGGCCCUUAUGGGUAGGGCUUCACACGUCAUACAAUGGACGGUACAGAGGGUUGCCAACCCGCGAGGGGGAGCCAAUCCCGACAAAGCCGUUCGUAGUCCGGAUCGCAGUCUGCAACUCGACUGCGUGAAGUCGGAAUCGCUAGUAAUCGCGGAUCAGCAUGCCGCGGUGAAUACGUUCCC